UACGUAAGGGGCAAGCGUUGUCCGGAAUCACUGGGCGUAAAGCGCACGUAGGCGGUUUGUCAAGUUGGGGGUGUAAGCUCUAGGCUUAACCUAGAAAUUGCCUCCAAAACUAGCAUACUUGAGUAUUAGAGGGGAAGCUGGAAUUCACGGUGUAGCGGUGAAAUGCGUAGAUAUCGUGGAGAACACCCGUGGCGAAGGCGGGCUUCUGGCUAAUUACUGACGCUGAGGUGCGAAAGCUAGGGGAGCGAACGGG
Molecule: ribosomal RNA, 253 nt
Filed under: uncultured bacterium
Lineage: Bacteria
Description: partial 16S ribosomal RNA
Rfam family: Bacterial small subunit ribosomal RNA
Source: RNAcentral